UUCGCAAUGCCCGAAAGGGUGACAAUGCGACGUCGCGUGUGUGAUGAAGGUCUUCGGAUUGUAAAACACUGUCGGCUGGGAGGAAUCUCUGGAGGUUGAAUAAACCUGCAGGGUGACAGUACCAGCAGAGGAAGCCACGGCUAACUCCGUGCCAGCAGCCGCGGUAAUACGGAGGUGGCAAGCGUUACUCGGAUUGAUUGGGUGUAAAGGGCGUGUAGGCGGUACGUUAAGUCGAGUGUGAAAUCCCUUGGCUCAACCAAGGAACUGCAUUCGAAACUGACGUACUUGAGGACGGUAGGGGAGAGUGGAACUCCUGGUGUAGCGGUGAAAUGCGUAGAUAUCAGGAGGAACGCCGGUGGCGAAAGCGACUCUCUGGGCCGCUCCUGACACUGAGUGCGCGAGAGCUAGGGGAGCAAACAGGAUUAGAUACCCUGGUAGUCCUAGCUGUAAACGAUGGGCACUAAGUAGAGGGGUUUU
RNAcentral lists this ribosomal RNA (477 nucleotides) under uncultured Planctomycetota bacterium. RNAcentral describes it as "bacterial SSU rRNA". It matches the Rfam family "Bacterial small subunit ribosomal RNA", at positions 365 to 832 of the family's 1533-position model. The record is from RNAcentral. Lineage: Bacteria; Pseudomonadati; Planctomycetota.